This 246-nucleotide long non-coding RNA is filed under the name Lathyrus oleraceus (garden pea). Its description in RNAcentral is "Pisum sativum (pea) long non-coding RNA (PSAT_LNC017946)". Lineage: Eukaryota; Viridiplantae; Streptophyta; Magnoliopsida; Fabales; Fabaceae. The record is from RNAcentral.
UGGGCUGUUAUUGAGUAGAAAGAGAAACGUGAGUGAGUGAUGAGAGAGAGAUGUGUGAGUUAGUGGGUGAGUAAAUGAGUGGGUAGAGAGUGGAUCUUUUUUUUGUUUUUUGUCUUUUCCUUUUCUACUAGCUGUCAACAACUUUCAUUUUCUCCUCAUAAAGCCGUUGGAGAGUUUUCAAAAUUUUAUUAUUGUUUUUUUUAAUUCAUACUAUUAUUAAUUUGGUUGUUUAUGAUUGGUAUAGAG